UGUUCUCUUUUAAAUUACAACAAAUCCGAAAUUAAAGUAAAUGUUUUAUCAGUUCAGCAUCAAGAGGGAAAUGUAGAUUGUGGUUUGUUUUCACUAGCUUUUAUAGAGUUUAUUUUAUGGAACAAUAAAAAUCUAGUUGAUGAUAUUUGGUUCAACCAAAGGCUAUUUAGAAGUCAUGUUCUUGCAUGCAUAAAAGAUAACAUAAUGAGAUCCUUUCCACUGUCAUAUUCUGGAAGCUAUAGAUGCAAUCCAAAAGAAUUCAAAUUAAAGAUAUGCUGUUCUUGCAGGAUAAUUUGGACACCUUUAUAUGGGUCUUCAUAUGAAAAGUUAGUAAUUUUUUUAUUUUGCUGAUGCUAUUGGCUAAUUAAUCAACUAAUGGUUCAACCCAUUAAUUAGCCGAUGGUUACUGAUGGCAUAGGCUACAAGGCCAACUCAAUGUUGAUAUAUAGUUUUACCUUAUACGUAUUUUACAUCUCUAUAUUACCAGUUUAUGUAUAAAUUAAACCCUAUUAUUAGCCACAAUUAUACCUUUGCCAUCGGUACAUAACUAAUUUUAUUUAAUUACUUGUUUUAUAACUUACAUAAUUUCGUUUACACAACAUUAUCAUAGCCGUCAUUGUUUUAGCAUCCUUGUUUCAUUUUCAAGAAUUUAAUAUUGUUUUUGGAAAAAAAAUUACAAGACUCAGAAGUGCCAGAACAUCUCAACAGUUUCUUUAAGCCCCCUACACCUUAUUAUACUUUGUAAAUGCUAAAUUUAAAGUUCUUUUACAUUCAAACCUAUUUAGUAAAAGUACUUAAAGAAUCAAAAAAAUUUGUAUUAUAAUUGCUUAAACAAUAGCAACUCAAUGUUAAAACUGGAAUAUGUAAAAAUUGUAAUAAACUUUUUAUUUUAAGGCAAACAGUUCAAUGCUGCUCUUGUAAAAAUUGGUUUCAAUGUGAAUGCAAAAAAAUCAAUGCAAAAACCAAAGAUCUUUGAAAAUGUCAAGAGUGUUAAAAAAGAUAACAAAAUAACUAAAGACUUGCAAAGGACAGAAAUUUUUCCGACUUUGACAAUAUAAGCAAUGUAAUAUGGUUAUCAAUGCGACACUUCAAAAAACGGUUAUUUUCAUAGCCACAUAUAUUUAAAGACAUUAUGUAUCUGAACAUUUAUUUAAUGGUGUGAAUGCUAAGAGAUCGUAGCAUUGUAUCUAAAUUGCUUGCCAAUCGUCGCAUGCAGCAAUUUCAAUGACCCGAGUUUAAAGGAAAUAAAAAACAUGUUGUAUAACUGUUGUAAGGUAGGAUUGUCCAAUAUUUUGAAAAUGGUUGCAUGUAAUGAGUGCAGUUGGGUAUAUAUAUAUUUAUUUUAU
Hydra vulgaris (swiftwater hydra) is the source of this 1346-nucleotide non-coding RNA. Lineage: Eukaryota; Metazoa; Cnidaria; Hydrozoa; Anthoathecata; Hydridae. The record is from RefSeq and is a predicted model, not a curated record.